This 375-nucleotide ribosomal RNA is filed under the name uncultured Glomeromycotina. Its description in RNAcentral is "LSU rRNA". Lineage: Eukaryota; Fungi; Glomeromycota. The record is from RNAcentral.
UUGAAAGGGAAACGAUUGAAGUCAGUCAUACCAACGGGAAAUCAACCUUUUGAGCUUGGUCUCGUGGGUUGUGAAGAGUUUCAAAGCCUUCGGAUUCGCGGGAUUGGGAUCUCUUGGUGUACUUUUUCGUACGGUUAGUCAACAUCGGUUUUGAAUGUCAUAAAAUGACUGGAGGAAUGUAGCUUCGAUCUCGUAUUGAAGUGUUAUAGCCUUUGGUAGAUGUGAUGUUUGAGACCGAGGAUUGCAACGGAUACCCUUCAGGGCUAUUCGUCUGAUCUCUGAUACGUUGCCUUGAUGUUGAAAGCUUGCUUAUGAUGUUAGGGUAUUACGGUCAAAAGGUUAGAACGAAUUACAUUCGUUAAGGAUGUUGACGUA